UACAGAGGGGGCAAGCGUUGUUCGGAAUUACUGGGCGUAAAGGGCGCGUAGGCGGCCUUCUAAGUCGAACGUGAAAUCCCCGGGCUCAACCCGGGAACUGCGUCCGAUACUGGAAGGCUUGAAUCCGGGAGAGGGAUGCGGAAUUCCAGGUGUAGCGGUGAAAUGCGCAGAUAUCGGGAGGAACACCGGUGGCGAAGGCGGUUCUCUGGGCCUGUUCUGACGCUGAGGAGCGAAAGCGUGGGGAGCGAACAGG
This 253-nucleotide ribosomal RNA is filed under the name uncultured bacterium. RNAcentral describes it as "partial 16S ribosomal RNA". It matches the Rfam family "Bacterial small subunit ribosomal RNA", at positions 524 to 776 of the family's 1533-position model. The record is from RNAcentral.